This 314-nucleotide ribosomal RNA is filed under the name uncultured Desulfobulbus sp. Its description in RNAcentral is "bacterial SSU rRNA". It matches the Rfam family "Bacterial small subunit ribosomal RNA", at positions 1068 to 1382 of the family's 1533-position model. The record is from RNAcentral. Lineage: Bacteria; Pseudomonadati; Thermodesulfobacteriota; Desulfobulbia; Desulfobulbales; Desulfobulbaceae.
AGAGUGUUGGGGUUAAGUCCCGCAACGAGCGCAACCCUUGCCUUUAGUUGCCAGCAGUUCGGCUGGGCACUCUAAAGGGACUGCCGGUGUUAAACCGGAGGAAGGUGGGGAUGACGUCAAGUCCUCAUGGCCUUUAUGACCAGGGCUACACACGUACUACAAUGGCCGAUACAAAGGGCAGCGACACUGCGAGGUGAAGCCAAUCCCGUAAAAUCGGUCUCAGUCCGGAUUGGAGUCUGCAACUCGACUCCAUGAAGUUGGAAUCGCUAGUAAUCGUGGAUCAGCAUGCCACGGUGAAUACGUUCCCGGGCCUU